AGUGACUUUGAUAUACAGUUAAAGCUCUGCUCUACCCAGAGUAUGUGUUGUGCCCAUAUGGCUCUCGACAUUAGUUGUAUCCUUUUUAUUGAAUACAUCCAUUGGUGAAAUGACUACAGGAGAUGCAGCGUUCUCAUCUCGCUGAAGAUCUUACAAAUGCUGUAUUUUACUGCCCACCACGCAUAUCUCUGCUAUGAAUGUGUAAGUGGGAGGAGUGGCUGAUACUUCUUGGAGCUCUGCUACUCUUCAGUCCCAUUUUACCAGGUUGGAGGGCUGCCAAGUGGACACCUCAGGAAGGUCAGCAGAGGUACCCUUCUGGAGGAGAUUUGCCACGGACAUCUAGGAAGUGGACCACACUUGAGCAGGGAAUUGAGCUUCUGAGGGAGUUUGCUGUAAAGGAAAUACUUUCUGGAGAUGAUGGUAUGCAGAAUCCUGAUGAAAUUCCUGUUGGAACAUGUCUUUGAAAGAAACUUACCGAUGUUAGAUGGAGGAGCAAGUUUAAUAGUUUGGUAAAGAGGUUUGUGUGAGAGAACAACCAUUGAAGACUUCCUAUAGUUGUUGAAUUGCCUGACCAAAUGAGGCAGUUAGAGGACAUUUUGUCCUACACUUAUUUAGUGUCUGCUUUAAAAACUCUGGCUGCACAAAUGAAAGGUAGAAAAAGGAUGGAGGAGGCCCUUAAACCUUCCAUCUAAGUUGAUGAAGGAAAAAGACAAGAUUUCAUCUGGAGAUGAAUCCAGUACCAGUUGAACAGUUUACCUCAGGAGUGGAAACACAGUUGGACAAUGUUUUCCUUCGGUCAUCCACAAUGCAUUGGAGAAAUGUAAAGUCCCAGAACAUCUGCAAUUCAUCAAGGAGAAUAUUGUGUGGGGCCAAACUGCUGAGGAAGCCUUUGAGAAAGCUCCUAGAUUACCAGUUCUGAACUGGAUGUUCCAAGGCAAAGGUUGCUCACCACAUCGUGCCACAGAUGCACCCUGGUUUAAGUGGAUAGCUUUGAUAAGCCCAGGAGCACAAAUGGGCACUCUUGCAUGACCUGGUCUGGUGGAAGUGUUCACCAAUUGGGCAGAAGGCACAAACUGUCUAAAAUCUCCAGUAGAAAGAGUAACCUGUGAUGAGGAAUUUUCUCCUUAUGGUAAUCGCUGAUCAGGAAAAGAACCAUGCUUUGUUGACAGAUGGUUCCUGUUGUCUUGUUGGGAAGAAGCGAAGAUGGAAGUCGGCAGUCUGGAGUCCUGGCAGGAGAGUUGCUGAAGUGAGAGAUGAAGAAGGUGAAUCCAGUCAAUUUGCUGAAGCAAAAGCUGUCCAACUUGCUCUUGAUGUGGCUGAAAGUGAAAAUUUGGCUAUCACUUACCUAUACACUGACUCAUGGAUGGUAGCCAAUACUCUAUGGGGUUGCCUAAAAGACUGGGAAAAGGAUUGUUGGCAGAUGACUAAAACUCUAUUUGGUGUGCUGGUCUAUAGGAGGAAAUUAAUGAUUGCCUUGAGAAAAUGCCAGUGCAAGUGUGGCGUGGAGACACACACAGGCCUAAGAACAAAGCUACUCAGGAACAUGAACACAACCAUGGGGCAGAUCAAGCUGCUAGAGUUUCUCAAGUUGAUACAAAGUAUGAUCUUGACCUUGAUAGGAAAUAGGGAGGUGAGCUGUUCUGGGCUUGGUGGGCCCAUCAUUCAUUUGGACACCAAGGCAGAGAUGCAACUUACUGGUGAGCAUGUGACAAGUCAAUGGACUUAUCCAUGGAUCACAGGAUAUUAGGGGUUGGAAGGGACCUAAGGAGAUGAUUGAGUCCAAUGCCCAAGGUAACACCAUUCUUGGGCACAAGAGAC
Pogoniulus pusillus (Red-fronted tinkerbird) is the source of this 1818-nucleotide long non-coding RNA. RefSeq lists it as uncharacterized. The transcript has 3 exons. Lineage: Eukaryota; Metazoa; Chordata; Aves; Piciformes; Lybiidae. The record is from RefSeq and is a predicted model, not a curated record.